Corticium candelabrum is the source of this 1522-nucleotide long non-coding RNA. RefSeq lists it as uncharacterized. The transcript is spliced from 4 exons. The record is from RefSeq and is a predicted model, not a curated record. NCBI's taxonomy places the organism in Eukaryota, Metazoa, Porifera, Homoscleromorpha, Homosclerophorida, Plakinidae.
CUGGUCACAUGACGUUUCACGCUGAUCACAUGACACUCUCGCAACUCGCGAUUUGUCGACACUGUACGUAUACGCAUAGCGUUGGGUCGGUAAGUCAACGAAGUUGUCACAGCUAAGCAAGCUAUAAUCUUAGUCGGCAAUAGGUAUGAUAUCAUACCUUGGAUGGAGGAAAGUCUAGUUUUUCAACGAUUCUGCCUCAUGUCUACCAAUUGUAUAAGAAGGUCAAUCAUCUUGUUUAUUUGAUGGGUAAUCAAGGAAGUAUCAUCAAGUCUCACAACAAUGGCCCUGUCUCCUCUGCUGCCAUGUACCCUAUGGUUGUAUAUAGCACAACAAGCUAGGCAGAAGAACCAGAAUAAGCAUCAGUCCUUAUUUCAACAUUUUAGAAAGAGGAGGAAAGGCAAAAACAACCAGAAGAGGUCGUGUAACUCUUCUAUCCUUUAGAAGACUGUAAGAGCACCAUACUUUACUCAUGCUGAAAGGAAUUUUUUGUGGUAAGCUGAUUAUUCUGUUCAAAGAGGGAAUUGAGUCGCAAAGUAUGAGGAACUAGGAACUAAUUCACAGUUCGGAAAUCAAUCAUCAAUGAGUGCUUCUUUAGAGGCUUCCUUAGAAGCAGUUGAAUUAGGACAAGAGGAAUGAUAUAUUUAUUGUCGAUUCAAUAUCUUCGUUAGGCGAGAAAGAGGUGACUACUUUAUAUUUGAAGAUUAGAGGUUGCUUUAUAUAGUGUCUGUAUAGCAUAUGGUAUUUUGCUUUGAGACCUGUUGCUGGUUUUUAAAGUAUGUUCUGUAUCUAUGUUGAAGAUGUAUCACAAUAAAUGACAGAGGGCACGGAGUGGUGUGAAUUACCGUAUUUAUUCCAAGUCAGCAGUAUUGUUGGCACCAACUGAAUGUAAACCCUUAUAUUUACCAGAUACAUGUGCGUGCAUGCUCCUGUGAAGUUCAUGUCAAUUGUACUUAUGCAAGGGUCAGUACGACAAACAAUGUGUUCUUUCUUGCAUCAAUCAUAUUUACCUGUGAGGUGAUGGAUUUGGCUUUGUGUAUUGCUAGGAACUCUCUAAUUCCAUCAAGAUCAAAUACACCAAACAAGAAUCCAGCAGCCUGGAUUUCAUCUUUACAGUCACAGUCUUGAUUGAUCUUUCCGGCUAGUCUUCUGCACACAGACUCACUGGGCAUCACAGUACUGGUGUGGGGGUUGCUGAAAAGACUGCUUCUGGGGACAGUGAUGACCUGACCCUGCUCUGGACUCACACUAGGAAACUUCAGUCUACCGCAUUCCUGCCUGGUCAGCUCUCUGAUAGACCUACGAGUGUGAAUCGUUAUCGGAACCGCCCACCAUGUAUAUGUACGGCUUCAGUCAAUGAUUGUCUGCCUUUGAUUGUCGAGCUUGAGAAAUUCGCAAACAUUUGGGCGCGAAAGAAACUGGCGGUGGUCAGAACACACUUGCGCGGGGUAGAUUUACGCGGGUAACUUUGAAGUCUGCACGUGCAGACAGUCACCGGCACAUGCAAACAAUGCGCAAGCGUCAG